Long non-coding RNA from Pseudopipra pipra, 263 nucleotides. RefSeq lists it as uncharacterized. The record is from RefSeq and is a predicted model, not a curated record. NCBI's taxonomy places the organism in Eukaryota, Metazoa, Chordata, Aves, Passeriformes, Pipridae. The transcript is spliced from 2 exons.
GAGAAUCACCUUCUAUAAAAAGCCCAUUUCAUAAUAGGUGACUGUAUUAUCUUUCCUGUCUUUGGGAGUUGAUGAAAAAGGAACUCAUCACCAGCCACACUGUCUUCAGUAUGACAGGCCAACAUACAGGCUGGAAUACAUCAAUACCAAGUCCCAUUUCUGAGGUUAUGCUUCCAACAGUGCAGUGUCCCGAAGAACACUGAAGGCAGACACUAAUAAAUUUAAGAGAAUAAAUAAAGCUUCCACCAGCUUCAAAGCCACAA